RNAcentral lists this ribosomal RNA (460 nucleotides) under uncultured bacterium. RNAcentral describes it as "bacterial SSU rRNA". It matches the Rfam family "Bacterial small subunit ribosomal RNA", at positions 28 to 507 of the family's 1533-position model. The record is from RNAcentral.
GAUGAACGCUAGCGACAGGCCUAACACAUGCAAGUCGAGGGGCAGCGCGGGAGAAGCUUGCUUUCCUGGCGGCGACCGGCGCACGGGUGCGUAACAGGUGUGCAAUCUGUCCUAUACCAGAGCAUAGCCCAGCGAAAGUUGGAUUAAUUCUCUAUGAAAGCUCCGGCGAUGAAGGAUGGGGAUGCGUUCCAUUAGGUAGUAGGCGGGGUAACGGCCCACCUAGCCGACGAUGGAUAGGGGUUCUGAGAGGAAGGUCCCCCACACUGGAACUGAGACACGGUCCAGACUCCUACGGGAGGCAGCAGUGAGGAAUAUUGGUCAAUGGGCGGAAGCCUGAACCAGCCAAGUAGCGUGAAGGAUUACAGCCCUACGGGUUUUAAACUUCUUUUAUAUAAGAGUAAUGUGCACUACGUGUAGUGUAUUGCAAGUAUUAUAUGAAUAAGCAUCGGCUAACUCCGUG